RNAcentral lists this unclassified non-coding RNA (329 nucleotides) under soil metagenome. Its description in RNAcentral is "partial contains 5.8S ribosomal RNA, internal transcribed spacer 2, and large subunit ribosomal RNA". The stretch from base 1 to 120 matches the Rfam family "5.8S ribosomal RNA", at positions 35 to 154 of the family's 154-position model. The record is from RNAcentral.
GAUGAAGAACGCAGCGAAAUGCGAUAAGUAAUGUGAAUUGCAGAAUUCAGUGAAUCAUCGAAUCUUUGAACGCACAUUGCGCCCCCUGGUAUUCCGGGGGGCAUGCCUGUCCGAGCGUCAUUACAACCCUCAAGCUCAGCUUGGUAUUGGGCCCCGCCGACCCGGCGGGCCCUAAAGUCAGUGGCGGUGCCGUCCGGCUCCGAGCGUAGUAAUUCUUCUCGCUCUGGAGGUCCGGUCGUGUGCUCGCCAGCAACCCCCAAUUUUUUACAGGUUGACCUCGGAUCAGGUAGAGAUACCCGCUGAACUUAAGCAUAUCAAUAAGCGGAGGA